CACGUAGAAGGCGAACGUUAUUCGGAUUCACUGGGCGUAAAGCGGGUGUAGACGGCCUCUCAAGUCGGAUGUGAAAUCUCUUGACUCAAUCAAGAGGGGUCAUUCGAUACUGGGAAGCUUGAGGGCAGCAGAAGAAGGCGGAACUCCUGGUGUAGCGGUGAUAUGCGUAGAUAUCAGGAGGAACACCAGUGGCGAAGGCGGCCUUCUAGGCUGUUCCUGACGUUGAGACCCAAAAGCGUGGGGAGCGAAACGGAUUAGAUACCCUUGUA
Molecule: ribosomal RNA, 269 nt
Filed under: uncultured prokaryote
Description: partial 16S ribosomal RNA
Rfam family: Bacterial small subunit ribosomal RNA
Source: RNAcentral